RNAcentral lists this ribosomal RNA (253 nucleotides) under uncultured bacterium. Its description in RNAcentral is "partial 16S ribosomal RNA". It matches the Rfam family "Bacterial small subunit ribosomal RNA", at positions 524 to 776 of the family's 1533-position model. The record is from RNAcentral.
UACGUAGGGGGCUAGCGUUGUCCGGAUUUAUUGGGCGUAAAGAGCGCGCAGGCGGUCGUUCAAGUCGCGUGUGAAGGCCCCCGGCUCAACUGGGGAGGGUCACGCGAUACUGAUCGACUGGAAGGCAGGAGAGGGUAGUGGAAUUCCCGGUGUAGUGGUGAAAUGCGUAGAUAUCGGGAGGAACACCAGUGGCGAAGGCGACUACCUGGCCUGUUCUUGACGCUGAGGCGCGAAAGCUAGGGGAGCAAACGGG